GCUGUGAUGGCCGAGAGGUUAAGGCCGGUUUGGAUUCGAAAUCCAAUGGGGUUUCCCCGCGCAGGUUCCAACCCUGCUCACAGCG
Non-coding RNA from Salvelinus sp. IW2-2015, 85 nucleotides. The record is from the annotation of a RefSeq genome assembly. NCBI's taxonomy places the organism in Eukaryota, Metazoa, Chordata, Actinopteri, Salmoniformes, Salmonidae.